AUUUUAAUUAGACUCGAAUUUGUUUGUGUCUUUUUCUAUUUUUUUCUUUUUUUUUUAUUUAUAUUUCUGUAUC
RNAcentral lists this non-coding RNA (73 nucleotides) under Foraminifera environmental sample. Lineage: Eukaryota; Foraminifera. The record is from RNAcentral.